RNAcentral lists this ribosomal RNA (301 nucleotides) under uncultured bacterium. RNAcentral's name for it is "partial 16S ribosomal RNA". It matches the Rfam family "Bacterial small subunit ribosomal RNA", at positions 509 to 807 of the family's 1533-position model. The record is from RNAcentral.
CAGUAGCCGCGGUAACACGAGGGGGGCAAGCGUUGUUCGGAAUUAUUGGGCGUAAAGGGCGCGUAGGCGGUUUGACAAGUCUGAUGUGAAAUCUCUGGGCUCAACCCAGAGUCUGCAUCGGAAACUGUCGAGCUUGAGUAUGGGAGAGGUGAGUGGAAUUUCCGGUGUAGCGGUGAAAUGCGUAGAUAUCGGAAGGAACACCUGUGGCGAAAGCGGCUCACUGGACCAUUACUGACGCUGAGGCGCGAAAGCUAGGGGAGCAAACAGGAUUAGAUACCCGCGUAGUCCCUGUCUCUUAUAC